UGGGGAAUUUUGGAUCAAUGGGCGAAAGCCUGAUCCAGCAAUGCCGCGUGUGUGAAGAAGGCCUUCGGGUCGUAAAGCACUUUUGUCCGGAAAGAAAUCCUUGGCUCUAAUACAGUCGGGGGAUGACGGUACCGGAAGAAUAAGCACCGGCUAACUACGUGCCAGCAGCCGCGGUAAUACGUAGGGUGCAAGCGUUAAUCGGAAUUACUGGGCGUAAAGCGUGCGCAGGCGGUUUGCUAAGACCGAUGUGAAAUCCCCGGGCGUCACCUGGGACUGCAUUGGUGACUGGCAGGCUAGAGUAUGGCAGAGGGGGGUGAGAAUUCCACGUGUAGCAGUGAAAUGCGUAGAGAUGUGGAGGAAUACCGAUGGCGAAGGCAGCCCCUGGCAGUACUGACGCUCAUGCACGAAA
Molecule: ribosomal RNA, 409 nt
Filed under: uncultured bacterium
Lineage: Bacteria
Description: partial 16S ribosomal RNA
Rfam family: Bacterial small subunit ribosomal RNA
Source: RNAcentral